AAAAAAAAUCUAACUUCAGGUCCCGACACUUCCUCAAGCCCUAGCCCACUGCCUCCUCAGCUGCUCUUCCCUCUUCGCCUCUUGACUUCCUCUUCGCUUCAUCUUCACCAGACUACCUCCACCCAGCCACCCUCCAGUCGCCUGCUCUGCCUCUGCUGCUUGCCUGCUUGAUGCUUUCCUGCUCCGUCUCCGUGGUCACUGCUCUUCGCCUCUUCGCAAUCGCUUCGACGCAAUUGCUAAUUCACUAUUAACGCUUCCUCUUCGCUCAUCGGCUCACGCCUCGUCGCCUCCAGUGCUGGCCCUGCUGCUGGCCCUGCUGCUCCGCCUACUCGCCUCAAUCAGCGUCUGCCGUCUGGCAAGGUAAUCAUCAAUUUAUUCUUUUUUUUUUGUGAAUUUCUGAUCAAAUUUGCUUUACUUGUUGCUUAAAAUUAGUAUAUACGAUGAAUGUUCAUUGAAUUUGCAUUAUUUGUGUUUUGACUGUUAAAUUGAACUUAUUAGUUUAUGUGAUGCCGGACAUUGUAUAAGACAACUAUUAGUGUAAGGAGGAUUAUAAAUUUAUAAUUAGAUUACAGUGCGGACUGGUUAGUGGUGCUAGUCGCAUAUUCGGCUGGAAGUUCCGUAUAGACUAGGCGGAUUCAGGAAUUGUAAAACAUUGUGUCUGAAUUGUGGUUACAUAAACCUUAAAUCAUUCUUAA
This is a long non-coding RNA of Chenopodium quinoa (quinoa), 695 nucleotides long. RefSeq lists it as uncharacterized. NCBI's taxonomy places the organism in Eukaryota, Viridiplantae, Streptophyta, Magnoliopsida, Caryophyllales, Amaranthaceae. The transcript is spliced from 2 exons. The record is from RefSeq and is a predicted model, not a curated record.